RNAcentral lists this ribosomal RNA (253 nucleotides) under uncultured bacterium. RNAcentral's name for it is "partial 16S ribosomal RNA". It matches the Rfam family "Bacterial small subunit ribosomal RNA", at positions 524 to 776 of the family's 1533-position model. The record is from RNAcentral.
GACAGAGGGUGCAAACGUUGUUCGGAAUUACUGGGCGUAAAGCGCGUGUAGGCGGCUAAGUAAGUCGGGUGUGAAAGCCCUGGGCUCAACCCAGGAAGUGCACUCGAAACUGCGAAGCUCGAGUCCUGGAGAGGAAGGCGGAAUUCUCGGUGUAGAGGUGAAAUUCGUAGAUAUCGAGAGGAACACCUGUGGCGAAGGCGGCCUUCUGGACAGUGACUGACGCUGAGACGCGAAAGCGUGGGGAGCAAACAGG